AGAAAGCACCGGGGGUGCCUGUAUCUGCUUUAGAACUGGCCAUUUGGUCAGAGGGUUGAGCAGGUCAGGCUGAGAAAGUCCCUUUGAACCUGAACAGGAUAAUGCCUGCGUAGGGAGUGUGCAUUUUCUUUUCC
Molecule: non-coding RNA, 134 nt
Filed under: Ricinus communis (castor bean)
Lineage: Eukaryota; Viridiplantae; Streptophyta; Magnoliopsida; Malpighiales; Euphorbiaceae
Description: TPP sequence
Rfam family: TPP riboswitch aptamer (THI element)
About the family: Vitamin B(1) in its active form thiamin pyrophosphate (TPP) is an essential coenzyme that is synthesised by coupling of pyrimidine and thiazole moieties in bacteria.
Source: Rfam by way of RNAcentral